CCUACGGGUGGCAGCAGUAGGGAAUAUUGCUCAAUGGGGGAAACCCUGAAGCAGCAACGCCGCGUGGAGGAUGAAGGUUUUAGGAGUGUUAACUCCUUUUGUGAGAGAAGAGAAUGACGGUAUCUCUCGAAUAAGCACUGGCUAAUCCCGUGCCAGCAGCCGCGGUAAUACGGAGGUUGCAAGCGUUAAUCGGAAUUACUGGGCGUAAAGAGGGCGCAGGCGGGCGUGUAAGUCAGUUGUGAAAUCCUGUAGCUUAACUACAGAACUGCAUUUGAAACUAUGAGUCUAGAGUGUGGGAGAGGUAGGUGGAAUUCUUGGUGUAGGGGUCAAAUCCGUAGAUAUCAAGAGGAAUACUCAUUGCGAAGGCGACCUACUGGAACAUUACUGACGCUCAUGCACGAAAGCGUGGGGAGCAAACAGGAUUAGAUACCCCGGUAGUC
This 440-nucleotide ribosomal RNA is filed under the name uncultured bacterium. RNAcentral's name for it is "partial 16S ribosomal RNA". It matches the Rfam family "Bacterial small subunit ribosomal RNA", at positions 338 to 795 of the family's 1533-position model. The record is from RNAcentral.